AGAGUUUGAUCAUGGCUCAGAAUGAACGUUGGCGGCGUGGAUUAGGCAUGCAAGUCGCACGGGCCGCAAGGCCAGUGGCGCAAGGGUGAGUAAGGCGACGGCAACCAACCCCAUGGUUGGGCAUAGCCGCGGGAAACUGCGGGUAAUUCCCAGCGACGUCGCGGGGGGGCAUCUCCUCGCGACCAAAGUUCAGGCGCCGUGGGACGGGCCGUCGUGGUAUUAGGUAGUUGGCGGGGUAACGGCCCACCAAGCCUGCGAUGCCUACCGGGCGUGCGAGCGUGGCCCGGCACACUGGGACUGAGACACUGCCCAGACUCCUACGGGAGGCUGCAGUCGAGAAUCUUCGGCAAUGGGCGCAAGCCUGACCGAGCGACGCCGCGUGGAGGAUGAAGGCCCUCGGGUUGUAAACUCCUGUCGAGGGGGAAGAAGGGGCGUGAAAACCCUUGACUGAUCCCUGGAGGAAGCACGGGCUAAGUUCGUGCCAGCAGCCGCGGUAAGACGAACCGUGCGAACGUUAUUCGGAAUCACUGGGCUUAAAGCGCGUGUAGGCGGACCGGCACGUCGGUCGUUCAAAUCCCCCGGCUCAACCGGGGAACCGGCGCCGAUACGACCGGUCUGGAGGAACGUAGGGGGAGCGGGAACUUCCGGUGGAGCGGUGAAAUGCGUUGAGAUCGGAAGGAACGCCCGUGGCGAAAGCGCGCUCCUGGACGUUUGCUGACGCUGAGACGCGAAAGCCAGGGGAGCGAACGGGAUUAGAUACCCUAGUAGUCC
Molecule: ribosomal RNA, 771 nt
Filed under: uncultured bacterium
Lineage: Bacteria
Description: bacterial SSU rRNA
Rfam family: Bacterial small subunit ribosomal RNA
Source: RNAcentral